CGCCACAGAAAAGAUACCGCCCCGGCAGCGCAAGCCGUCGGGGGUAAGGGUGAAAUGGUGCGGUAAGAGCGCACCGCUGUCCGGGUGACCGGGCAGGCAUGGCAAGCCCCACCGCGUGCAAGGCCAAGCAGCCCCCUGAUCCGUCAUGAAAGUGAUGGGUCACCACUGGUCCGGUGAUGGGCGGGUAGGCUGCUCGAGCCUGAUGGCAACAUCAGGCCCAGAGAAAUGGUCGCCCCCGGAAUGACAUCCCCUUGGGUGUCGCUACGGGAACAAAAUUCGGCUUACGGUUUGCGCCACCCA
Molecule: RNase P RNA, 300 nt
Filed under: Phycisphaerales bacterium
Lineage: Bacteria; Pseudomonadati; Planctomycetota; Phycisphaerae; Phycisphaerales
Description: partial RNase P RNA component class A
Rfam family: Bacterial RNase P class A
About the family: Ribonuclease P (RNase P) is a ubiquitous endoribonuclease, found in archaea, bacteria and eukarya as well as chloroplasts and mitochondria. Its best characterised activity is the generation of mature 5'-ends of tRNAs by cleaving the 5'-leader elements of precursor-tRNAs.
Source: RNAcentral